RNAcentral lists this ribosomal RNA (497 nucleotides) under uncultured bacterium. RNAcentral describes it as "partial 16S ribosomal RNA". It matches the Rfam family "Bacterial small subunit ribosomal RNA", at positions 28 to 507 of the family's 1533-position model. The record is from RNAcentral.
GAUGAACGCUGGCGGCGUGCCUAACACAUGCAAGUCGAACGAAAAGACGCUGAGCUUGUGCCUUUGACGUUAGCGGCGGGCGGGUGAGUAACGCGUGGAUCCUCUACUUAUCUUUCGGGGAUAAUUACGGAAAUCCGGAUCUAAUACCAGAGAACAUGUUGAACCGCGGUGUUCAACGGUGAAUGACGGCCUUGGUGUCACUAAUAGCUGCUUCCGCGCCGGAUUGGCUAGUUGGUAAGGUACCGGCGUACCAAGGCAACGAUGCGUAGCCGAGCUGAGGGGGUGAUCAGCCACACUGGAACUGAGACACGGUACAGACGCCUACGGGAGGCAGCAGUAGGGAAUCUUACGCAAUGGGCGGAAUCCUGAGCGAGCAACGCCGCGUGAGUGAAGAAGGUCUUCGGAUCGUAAAUCUCUGUUAUUGGGUAAGAAAAAAUGUGUAAGUAUCUCGGCACGUCUUGACGGUACCUAAUCAGAAAGCCACGGCUAACUACGUG